AUCUACGGCCAUGCCACCCUGAACACGCCCGAACAACUUACAAGAUCUCGGAAGCUAAGCAGGUUCAGGCCUCGUUAGUACUUGGAUGGGAGACCACCUAGGAAUACUAGGCGCUGUAGGUG
RNAcentral lists this ribosomal RNA (122 nucleotides) under Pteropus vampyrus (large flying fox). The record is from RNAcentral. Lineage: Eukaryota; Metazoa; Chordata; Mammalia; Chiroptera; Pteropodidae.